CAACUAAGAACAAUAUAUUGUUUAAAUAUUCUAGAGAAAAGAUUUUUGCUUUAUAAUUUAGUUGAUUUUCUUAUGUUUCAAAUAAUAUCAACUCCUUAAUAAGUGCUAAGGGAAGUAUAAUAACAUGGUUGGUUAAUAAUUAAAUCUGUUGCAAUAGUUUUUGGCUUUGGAUUAAUACUGAUGAUCCCUUGGUAACUAUGCAGUUCAGGAAUGAAUACGGAACUUACUUC
Molecule: long non-coding RNA, 230 nt
Filed under: Bos taurus (domestic cattle)
Lineage: Eukaryota; Metazoa; Chordata; Mammalia; Artiodactyla; Bovidae
Description: long non-coding RNA NONBTAT019520
Source: RNAcentral